ACACAUGCAAGUCGAGGGGCAGCAUUUUAGUUUGCUUGCAAACUGAAGAUGGCGACCGGCGCACGGGUGAGUAACACGUAUCCAACCUGCCGAUAACUCUGGAAUAGCCUUUCGAAAGAAAGAUUAAUACCGGAUAGUAUACGAAUAUCGCAUGAUAUUUUUAUUAAAGAAUUUCGGUUAUCGAUGGGGAUGCGUUCCAUUAGUUUGUUGGCGGGGUAACGGCCCACCAAGACUACGAUGGAUAGGGGUUCUGAGAGGAAGGUCCCCCACAUUGGAACUGAGACACGGUCCAAACUCCUACGGGAGGCAGCAGUGAGGAAUAUUGGUCAAUGGGCGAGAGCCUGAACCAGCCAAGUAGCGUGAAGGAUGAAGGCUCUAUGGGUCGUAAACUUCUUUUAUAUGGGAAUAAAGUUUUCCACGUGUGGAAUUUUGUAUGUACCAUAUGAAUAAGGAUCGGCUAACUCCGUGCCAGCAGCCGCGGUAAUACGGAGGAUCCGAGCGUUAUCCGGAUUUAUUGGGUUUAAAGGGAGCGUAGGUGGAUUGUUAAGUCAGUUGUGAGAGUUUGCGGCUCAACCGUAAAAUUGCAGUUGAAACUGGCAGUCUUGAGUACAGUAGAGGUGGGCGGAAUUCGUGGUGUAGCGGUGAAAUGCUUAGAUAUCACGAAGAACUCCGAUUGCGAAGGCAGCUCACUAGACUGUCACUGACACUGAUGCUCGAAAGCGUGGGUAUCAAACAGGAUUAGAUACCCUGGUAGUCCACACAGUAAACGAUGAAUACUCGCUGUUUGCGAUAUACAGUAAGCGGCCAAGCGAAAGCAUUAAGUAUUCCACCUGGGGAGUACGCCGGCA
RNAcentral lists this ribosomal RNA (848 nucleotides) under uncultured bacterium. Its description in RNAcentral is "bacterial SSU rRNA". It matches the Rfam family "Bacterial small subunit ribosomal RNA", at positions 51 to 890 of the family's 1533-position model. The record is from RNAcentral.